UCACAUUUAUAAUAAUUUUAAAAAGUUAUAAAUCAGAACUGUGCCGCCUGGAGUUUAGCACAAACACGGGGCUCCAACUGGGGCUUUGCCAUUGCCAAGGAAAGCGGAGAAACCAACUGUUUGGUUUCACACAUGACGCUGGUGAGGCUGCAGCCAAGGGCAGCAUUUGUGUAUGAGUGUGACCAUUGAGACCAAUGCCCGGGAACCUGAUCGUCACUCACGCCCACGUCCUUUCCAUACUGUUCCCAGUCUGGUUAAGAUGCUGCUCGAAAGAUGCAUUUUUUUCUCUCAGCAGAGAGAAGUCUGAAUCUAAUUGGGUCCUUUGCUAGCUACACCAUGCAUUUGCACCAAUAUUUAUCCCAUCUGUUCCGAGAGUCUGCUCCCCAUUACUUACCAAAACUGUCAAUGGCUCCCCAUUAUUUACAGAUUCUUUGGCCUGGCAUGCAGGGGCUUGUGAGGUCUGCUCCCAGCCUACCUUCCCAGCCACCUCUCCUUUCAGCUCCUUUCAGGAAAUCUUGUUGCCUCUUCCCUCAAAAUACAUCCAGAACUUGUCCUCUUUUAUCACCUCCACCGCCCUGACCUUGGCCCAAGCCUCUAUUAUCCACAAUAAUUGAGAUGCUCUCAAGCUGGGCCAGUGGCCAACUGCAGAACGGAGAGUGGCCGAGCAGGGAAGGUCAUAGAAGGCACAGGAUGGGGAAGGACACUGGAGACCAGGUUCCUGUAGGGUAAGUUGUAAUCACUGGAACCACUGAGCCUGGAGAAGGUGAGAUCUUUCCGAAGGGAACGGAAAGUGGAGUCAGUUGGAUCUGGGAUAUCUGGGUCUUCCCGGCCACGUGGCCUUGGGCAAGUCAUGUGAGUUCUCUGGGCAUGUAAAAUGAAGAUGAAAAUAUGCAUUUUGCAAGGCUAUCAUAAAUAUUAGUAGUAAUAAUAACAGGCAGAUACUGAGUGCUUAUCAUAUCUUAGAUACUAUUCCAGGUGCUAAGUCUGUACUAACUCAUCUAAACCUCACAACAUCCCCGAGUCCGAUGUCAUCCCUAUCCCCAUUUUACUGAUGAGAAAAUGUAGGUAAAAAGAGGUUCAAUAACUUGCUCAAGGUCAUAUGGCUACAACAUGUUAGAACCAGACUUGGCACUUAGGCCUCUGGCCCCAGAACCUAUAUAUUUAACCUCUCUGCAGGCCAUAUUAAUGUCCUGUGGCUAUUGUAACAAAUUACCACAAGCUUCGUGGCUUAAAACAACACAGAUUUAUAAGCUUACAAUUCUGGAGAUUAGAAGUCCUAAAUCUAAGGUGCUAGCAGGGCUGCAUUCCUUUUGGAGACUCCAGGGAGAAUCUGUUUCCUUGUCUUUUCCAGCUUCCAGAGACCACCUGCAUUUGUUGGUUGAUAGCCUCUUCCUCGAAUCACCCUGAUCCUCUGCUUCUGUGGCCACAUUUUCAUCUCUCCAAAUCUGAGUCUUCUGCCUGUCUCCUCUAGGGACCCUUGAGAUGACUUUGGGCCCAUCCAGAUCAUCCAAGAUAAUCUCCCCUUCUCAAGUUUCUUAAUCACUUCGGCAAGGUCUUUUUUGCCACAUAAAGUAAUAUUUGCACUGGGUUCAGGAAUCAGGAUGUGGGCAUCUUUGUGGGGGGAGUCACUAUUCCACCUACCACACAGAGCCCCUUCAACAAGUGAGAUUAGAUGAGAAAAUGUUGGUGAAGCACUGAGCCCAGAGAUAGAGCAUAGUAGGUGUGGAUGCUGGUGAUAGUGAAGGGGUGAAUGGCUGACAAAGACCAGGUGACUAAUUUCACAGCUGCCAGAAAUCAGCCUCCAGGGACACACAAGGAGCUUUGCCACACGCUGAAUCAGAUAAGGCCUCUGACUUUGUUUUGCCCCAGAAGCAGACCUCAAGAAGAGGACUCCAGUGCAAGUAGUUUAUUUAGAAGGCAAGCCCACAAAAAGUGGGAAAGCGAGACAGGCAAGGCAAGGCAAGGAAACCAAUGGAGAAUGCCAUGAAGCUAGUUACCACCAUAGGCAGGUGGAGCUUAAUCCCACUGGGGAAUUGUGGAAAACAGUGUGGAGCUCUGCACCUCAGAGUUAACCUACCUGAGAGGUGACAGGGCUGGGGUAUGGAUGCACCAAUUCCCUUCAGUCUGUUGCAAGUUGUUCCAGGGAGGGGGAGAGUGGAGUUAAUUCACCUACACACCCAUCUGCACACACAUAUAUAAAGCAGGCUCUGCUAUUUACAAUAGCAAAGACUUGGAACCAACCCAAAUGCCCAUCAAUGA
Molecule: long non-coding RNA, 2259 nt
Filed under: Homo sapiens (human)
Lineage: Eukaryota; Metazoa; Chordata; Mammalia; Primates; Hominidae
Description: HSALNT0354045
Source: RNAcentral